UUUUAAUAAUUAUUAAUUCAUUAUCAUCAAACUUAGGAUAUUUACGGAUUCUAUUUUUUAAAGGUUUACAUUUUUGACGGGAAAAUUACAGGUUAACGUUUUUGGCGGGAAAAUCACGGGUUUACGUUUUUUUGGCGAGAAAAUUAUGGGAUUACGUUUCUGCGGGAAAAUCACGGGUUUACGUUUUUGGCGGGAAAAUCACGGGUUUACGUUUUUUGGCAGAAAAUUACAGGUUUACGUUUUUGGCGGGAAAAUUACGAGUUUACGUUUUUGGCGGGAAAAUUACGGGUUUACGUUUUUGGCGAGAAAAUUACGGGUUUUACGUUUUUGACGGGAAAAUCACGGGUUUUCAUUUUUGGCGGGAAAAUCACAGGUUUACGUUUUUGGUGGGAAAAUCACGGGUUUAUGUUUUUGGUGGGAAAAUCACGGGUUUACGUUUUUGGCGGGAAAAUCACGGAUUUACGUUUUUGUCGGGAAAAUUACGGAUUUCUGUUUUUUGGUGGAUAAAUUACGAGUUUACGUCUUCUCAAUUUCAUCUCUUGUAUAUUUAAGAAAUUUGGAAAAAUAUUGAUUUU
This 575-nucleotide small RNA is filed under the name Arabidopsis thaliana (thale cress). RNAcentral describes it as "ATSL258870". The record is from RNAcentral. Lineage: Eukaryota; Viridiplantae; Streptophyta; Magnoliopsida; Brassicales; Brassicaceae.